UCGUACAGACAACCCGGAGAAACCAGCAACCUACCGUUCAAUUCCAUAUGUUCAUGGUCUCAGCUCAAGCAUCAAGAGAAUACUCCACAAGAGCAACACAGCAAUAGGGAUCUCUCACAGUUACAGAAACACAGUAGGACAUCUGUAUAAAAAUGCAAAAGAUCCGGUAUCCGAUCUCAGCAAAUGUAACGUCGUAUACCGGAUCGACUGUAAAGACUGCCCAAGUACAUACAUUGGAAUGACAACGAACAAGCUGAGGAACCGAAUGUACGGACAUCAAACACACGUAAACACACUAGAGCGAAGAUUAUCGGAAGGCCACCAAUACACGGAUCCAGAAAUACUGCAGCUCCAGGAAAAAUCUGCGCUAAUCCAGCACUGCAUUGAGCAACAACACCGAUUCAAUAUCAGCAACCCCUCCAUCGUCGAUACAACACAUAAGAAACAGGCUCUGCAAGUGUUGGAGAUGUGUCACAUCACGACCACCUCCAACACGGUCAACCAUCGGACUGAUACCGACAACUUAAGCUGUGCGUACGCACACCUCCUCGCUCAAAUCAAAAACCAAAGAGCAGAGAGGAGUGCGUCGUCAACAAUCCAAAAUAACCGACGAGAAACAGCUGAUCCAACACCCUAACCUACACUAACAAACCCUACCACCCAAAUAACACCAAAAGAUACACACCCCACAGUUAAACCCGAACGGCGAUUGAUAACAGCCGCAUUCUUGUGUUCCGCUGAUUUCUAGUUUUCGAAUUUCUCCCGAUUCGUACCACCCACCCAACAUCCUACUGGGGUGCUGGUGAUGAACGGAAAAGGUGCAGUGUUUUAUGGAAUAAAAACCAGACAAACGAUCGUGUGCAAAGUACGAUCUUUACAAGUUGAUUAAGAUCGAGCCCUGAGGAAGAUCCAACCCAAGGAUCGAAACGUUGGCAAUGAUAUAAAAUUAUCAACGCUUUUUCCCGUGACUGAAAGCCGAAAAAACUCCGUAGCUAUCAAAAAUCCCAGUCGAAUAUUUUCCCAAAUCUGCAAUGGCGACGAAUACAC
Molecule: long non-coding RNA, 1047 nt
Organism: Aedes albopictus (Asian tiger mosquito)
Lineage: Eukaryota; Metazoa; Arthropoda; Insecta; Diptera; Culicidae
Exons: 3
Source: RefSeq, a predicted model, not a curated record